Molecule: unclassified non-coding RNA, 201 nt
Filed under: Hevea brasiliensis (rubber tree)
Lineage: Eukaryota; Viridiplantae; Streptophyta; Magnoliopsida; Malpighiales; Euphorbiaceae
Source: RNAcentral
GUUAAUGUUCAGUUCAAUUCCUCAUUUAAUGUUAAUUUGUGUGAUUUUGCAAACUGUGUAAAACAAUUCAUGAUAGCGGCCCUGUUCAUGGUUCAUUUAGUUCUCUUAUGUUAUUUGGUCUUAUGCAGUAUAUAACCCACAGCAUUUUGGCUUGUAGUACAUACGAUGAUAAAAUGUGUUUUUUGACUGUAAACCAUGGCA